AGUCUUAUAGUCAAAUUAAAUGAUAUAAAAUUGCAAAUUUUAAGGUAUAAAUAAAUUAUUAAGGCUU
Molecule: transfer RNA, 67 nt
Filed under: Chilo suppressalis (striped riceborer)
Lineage: Eukaryota; Metazoa; Arthropoda; Insecta; Lepidoptera; Crambidae
Description: tRNA-Cys
Source: RNAcentral